Molecule: ribosomal RNA, 515 nt
Filed under: uncultured bacterium
Lineage: Bacteria
Description: partial 16S ribosomal RNA
Rfam family: Bacterial small subunit ribosomal RNA
Source: RNAcentral
GAUGAACGCUGGCGGCGUGCCUAAUACAUGCAAGUCGAGCGAAUGGAUUGAGAGCUUGCUCUUAUGAAGUUAGCGGCGGACGGGUGAGUAACACGUGGGUAACCUGCCCAUAAGACUGGGAUAACUCCGGGAAACCGGGGCUAAUACCGGAUAACAUUUUGAACCGCAUGGUUCGAAAUUGAAAGGCGGCUUCGGCUGUCACUUAUGGAUGGAACCGCGUCGCCUUAGCUAGUUGGUGCGGUAACGGCUCACCAAGGCAACGAUGCGUAGCCGAGCUGAGAGGUUGAUCGGCCGCACUGGGACUAGGACACGGCCCAGACUCCUACGGGAGGCAGCAGUAGGGAAUCUUCCGCAAUGGACGAAAGUCUGACGGGGCAACGCCGCGUGAGUGAUGAAGGCUUUCGGGUCGUAAAACUCUGUUGUUAGGGAAGAACAAGUGCUAGUUGAAUAAGCUAGCACCUUGACGGUACCUAACCAGAAAGCCACGGCUAACUACGUGCCAGCCGCCGCCGUAA